This 460-nucleotide ribosomal RNA is filed under the name uncultured bacterium. Its description in RNAcentral is "partial 16S ribosomal RNA". It matches the Rfam family "Bacterial small subunit ribosomal RNA", at positions 338 to 795 of the family's 1533-position model. The record is from RNAcentral.
CCUACGGGAGGCAGCAGUGAGGAAUAUUGGUCAAUGGGCGGAAGCCUGAACCAGCCAAGUAGCGUGCAGGAUGACGGCCCUACGGGUUGUAAACUGCUUUUAUACGGGAAUAACGCGCCUUACGUGUAGGUCUUUGCAUGUACCGUAUGAAUAAGGACCGGCUAAUUCCGUGCCAGCAGCCGCGGUAAUACGGAAGGUCCGGGCGUUAUCCGGAUUUAUUGGGUUGAAAGGGAGCGUAGGCCGCAUGUCAAGCGUGCUGUGAAAUGUCCGGGCGCAACCCGGGCCUUGCAGUGGAAACUGGCGGGCUUGAGUCCGCGGAAGGAAGGCGGAAUGCGUGGUGUAGCGGUGAAAUGCUGAGAGAUGACGAAGAACACCGAUUGCGAAGGCAGCUUGCUGGAGCGGAACUGACGCUGAUGCUCGAAAGCGCGGGUAUCGAACAGGAUUAGAUACCCGUGUAGUC